CAGUAGCCGCGGGAAUACGAAGGGGGCUAGCGUUGUUCGGAAUCACUGGGCGUAAAGCGCACGUAGGCGGACUUUUAAGUCAGGGGUGAAAUCCCAAGGCUCAACCUUGGAACUGCCUUUGAUACUGGAAGUCUUGAGUUCGGGAGAGGUGAGUGGAACUGCGAGUGUAGAGGUGAAAUUCGUAGAUAUUCGCAAGAACACCAGUGGCGAAGGCGGCUCACUGGCCCGAUACUGACGCUGAGGUGCGAAAGCGUGGGGAGCAAACAGGAUUAGAUACCCCAGUAGUCCCUGUCUCUUAUAA
RNAcentral lists this ribosomal RNA (301 nucleotides) under uncultured bacterium. RNAcentral describes it as "partial 16S ribosomal RNA". It matches the Rfam family "Bacterial small subunit ribosomal RNA", at positions 509 to 809 of the family's 1533-position model. The record is from RNAcentral.